UGUGAUGAUGCAAUCCUGUUCGGUGGGGGAGCUCCUGCAUUGGCGGGAACCUUCACUCAGACUCCUGAUGACAUGCACAGGGGCCAUCUGACCAGCU
This is a small nucleolar RNA of Ictalurus punctatus (channel catfish), 97 nucleotides long. Ensembl annotates it as Small nucleolar RNA SNORD67. The record is from Ensembl. Lineage: Eukaryota; Metazoa; Chordata; Actinopteri; Siluriformes; Ictaluridae.